RNAcentral lists this ribosomal RNA (497 nucleotides) under uncultured bacterium. RNAcentral describes it as "partial 16S ribosomal RNA". It matches the Rfam family "Bacterial small subunit ribosomal RNA", at positions 28 to 507 of the family's 1533-position model. The record is from RNAcentral.
GACGAACGCUGGCGGCGUGCCUAAUACAUGCAAGUUGAGCGAUGAAGAUUGGUGCUUGCACCAAUUUGAAGAGCAGCGAACGGGUGAGUAACGCGUGGGGAAUCUGCCUUUGAGCGGGGGACAACAUUUGGAAACGAAUGCUAAUACCGCAUAACAACUUUAAACAUAAGUUUUAAGUUUGAAAGAUGCAAUUGCAUCACUCAAAGAUGAUCCCGCGUUGUAUUAGCUAGUUGGUGAGGUAAAGGCUCACCAAGGCGAUGAUACAUAGCCGACCUGAGAGGGGGAUCGGCCACAUUGGGACUGAGACACGGCCCAAACUCCUACGGGAGGCAGCAGUAGGGAAUCUUCGGCAAUGGACGAAAGUCUGACCGAGCAACGCCGCGUGAGUGAAGAAGGGUUUCGGAUCGUAAAACUCUGUUGGUAGAGAAGAACGUUGGUGAGAGUGGAAAGCUCAUCAAGUGACGGUAACUACCCAGAAAGGGACGGCUAACUACGUG